This 341-nucleotide long non-coding RNA is filed under the name Homo sapiens (human). RNAcentral describes it as "non-protein coding lnc-ZNF366-4:2". Lineage: Eukaryota; Metazoa; Chordata; Mammalia; Primates; Hominidae. The record is from RNAcentral.
GCUGCCAUGUUGGCAGCAGCUCUGUGGAAAGGCCCAUGUGGCAAGGAAUUGAGAAAUCUUGCCAACAGCCCAUGAGAAACUGAGGCCUCAAGUCCACAGCCAGGAAUCUUAAAUGCUUGUGUGCAGCCACCAUCCUGACAAAUGAUUCAACAAAUGAUUCAAAGAGAAAAACCAGAAUACAAUUAUUUUGAUAGACACGUAAAACUGAAAAUCAAAUAUCCACAGAUGAAACUUCACCUUCAAGGAAAAUCGCCAACAGUGGUAAAGAGCUGCACAACACUUGAAGUUUUCUCCUGCAGCUUUGAUUGAACAAGCACCAGUAGGAGGGACUAAAAAUAAAG